AGAUGCCCAGAUGACCUGGUGGUGAUGUCUGCCUUCCCACUGCUCACCAGGACUGACUCGGCAGCUCUGGCUGGCUGAGAAGACGUCCCCCUCCUCCGCGCACUGUUCUGUGUGGGAAGAAGAUGAUCUUCCCCAAUGGAGGGGGACCUGCUUCUGUCAAGCGUGUGUGAGUGGCUGCACUCCCCUGCGAAAACCUCCAAGGAAACUCUCAAGAUGGAGUUAUAGUCCCACAAGUCAAGAAACUUCCGAAAGCUAGGAGAGAAGCCCGCUCAGAGCCUUCUUUGGUGCCUUCAGGG
Molecule: small nuclear RNA, 296 nt
Filed under: Cavia porcellus (domestic guinea pig)
Lineage: Eukaryota; Metazoa; Chordata; Mammalia; Rodentia; Caviidae
Description: 7SK RNA
Rfam family: 7SK RNA
About the family: 7SK was discovered as an abundant small nuclear RNA in the mid-70s but a possible function has only recently been suggested. Two independent studies have found that 7SK RNA binds the CDK9/cyclin T complex (known as elongation factor P-TEFb).
Source: Rfam by way of RNAcentral